CAUGCACAGUCAUGUCACAGGUAGUCACACCCUCUCACUCACAUCCUCCCAGGCACACUCACAAUCAAGCCUUCACACGCACAACAGUCACACCCUCACAUGCAGUCACACCCAUAUGCACACUCAUGCACACUCACAUCCUCCCAUGCAGUCACUCGCACGGGCAGUCACACAUUCACUCUCACAUGCACACAGUCACACUCUCAUGCAGUCACACCUGCACAUGCACACAGUCACACCUGCACUGUCACACCCAUACGUGCACUCAGUCACACCCUCAUAUGCAGUCACACCCUCACAUGCACACUCAUGCACACUCACAUCCUCCCAUGCAGUCACUCGCACGUGCAGUCACACAUUCACUCUCACAUGCAGUCACACUCUCAUGCACUCAGUCACACCUUCACAUGCACACUCAGUCACACCCUCACAUGCACACUCAUGCACUCAUAUCCUCCCAUGCAGUCACACCUGCACAUGCAGUCACACAUUCACUCUCACAUGCAGUCACACCCUCUCGUGCACACUCAGUGACACCUUCACAUGCACAGUCACACCUGCACUGUCACACCCACACAUGCACACUCAGUCACAUCCUCUCAUGCACUCAUAUACACAAUCACACCCUCCCAUGCACAAAGGCACUCACAAUCACAUCCUCCCAUACUCACCCACACACAGACCCCUGCCAUGGCUCCUGGCCCAGUCCUCUAUGUGGUACGUGUGCCCCCAAAAUCCCCAACCAAAUGAUGCCCCCAAUUCUGUGGAGCUCAGAUUACCACUUCCCUGACCCUCAGCCAAGCACAGACAGGACCCACACACAGUGAGGUAAACUCACAGGCCUCAGAAGCCUCCCUGAGCCCGGCCACAGGGUCUCCCAGGCCUAUGGCACCCACCCAGG
This 901-nucleotide long non-coding RNA is filed under the name Pan troglodytes (chimpanzee). RNAcentral's name for it is "long non-coding RNA NONPTRT004949". Lineage: Eukaryota; Metazoa; Chordata; Mammalia; Primates; Hominidae. The record is from RNAcentral.